This 1574-nucleotide ribosomal RNA is filed under the name Candidatus Desantisbacteria bacterium CG1_02_38_46. Its description in RNAcentral is "bacterial SSU rRNA". It matches the Rfam family "Bacterial small subunit ribosomal RNA". The record is from RNAcentral. Lineage: Bacteria; Candidatus Desantisiibacteriota.
UUUAUUAGAGAGUUUGAUCCUGGCUCAGGAUUAAUGCUAGCGGCGUGCCUAACACAUGCAAGUCGAACGGUUCCGAUUGCCAUUUGAGAACAGUUGUUUUUUUACAGCUGUUUUAAUUUAGUAAUCGGGAUAGUGGCGAACGGGUGAGUAAUGCGUGGAUAACCUGCCUUCAAGAGGAAGAUAGCUUCGUGAAAACGGGGGUAAUAUUCCAUAAGACCCUCCCCUGCUGUCUUGCGACAGCAAGACGGGGGGGUAAAAGUCUCCCGAUUUAACAUCGUGGGACACUUGAAGAGGGGUUCACGUUCUAUUAGCUAGUUGGUACGGUAAUGGCGUACCAAGGCGAAGAUGGAUAGCCGGCUUGAGAGAGUGUACGGCCACACUGGGAUUGAGAUACGGCCCAGACUCCUACGGGAGGCAGCAGUGAGGAAUUUUCCGCAAUGCCCGAAAGGGUGACGGAGCGACGCCGCGUGGGUGAUGAAGGCCUUCGGGUUGUAAAACCCUGUUGUAAAGGACGAUAAUGACGGUACUUUAUGAGGAAGCAUCGGCUAACUCUGUGCCAGCAGCCGCGGUAAGACAGAGGAUGCAAGCAUUAUCCAGAAUUACUGGGUGUAAAAUGUGUGCAGGUGGUUUUAUAAGUCAAAUGUGAAAUCUAGAUGCUUAACAUCUAAAUUGCAUUUGAUACUGUUUAACUUGAGUUCUGGUGAGGAAAGUGGAAUUCCCGGUGGAGCGGUGAAAUGCGUUGAUAUCGGGAGGAACACCGAUGGCGAAGGCAACUUUCCAGCUUGAAACUGACACUGAAACACGAAAGCUAGGGGAGCAAACAGGAUUAGAUACCCUGGUAGUCCUAGCCGUAAACGAUGGAUACUGGGUGUAGGCUCUUUAUGGGUCUGUGCCGAAGCUAACGCGUUAAGUAUCCUACCUGGGGAGUACAGUCGCAAGACCGAAACUCAAAGGAAUUGACGGGGGCUCGCACAAGCGGUGGAACACGUGGUUUAAUUCGACACAAAGCGCAAAACCUUACCGGGGUUUGACAUGCUGAUAGUACAAUCCUGAAAGGGAAAGGAGUCGCCUUUGGCGACAAUCAGCACAGGUGCUGCAUGGCUGUCGUCAGCUCGUGUCGUGAGAUAUUGGGUUAAGUCCCGUAACGAGCGCAACCCCUAUCCUCAGUUGGUCGCCUUUGGCGACAUCUCUGAGGAAACUGCCUCAGAUAAUGUGGAGGAAGGUGGGGAUGACGUCAAGUCCGCAUGGCCCUUAUAUCCCGGGCUACACACGUGUUACAAUGGAGCCGACAGAGAGUUGCAAGACCGCAAGGUGGAGCCAAUCUCUAAACGGCUUCUCAGUUCAGAUUGGAGGCUGAAAUUUGUCUCCAUGAAGUAGGAAUCGCUAGUAAUCACGGAUCAGCAGGCCGUGGUGAAUACGUUCCCGAGCCUUGUACACACCGCCCGUCACACCAUGAGAGCUGGUGGUACGUGAAUCCCACGAUUAAAAUCGGGGGGCAGUGUAAAACCAGUGAUUGGGGUGAAGUCGUAACAAGGUAGCCGUAUCGGAAGGUGCGGCUGGAUCACCUCCUUUCU